RNAcentral lists this transfer RNA (86 nucleotides) under Schlesneria paludicola. RNAcentral describes it as "tRNA-Leu". It matches the Rfam family "tRNA". Rfam says of the family: Transfer RNA (tRNA) molecules are approximately 80 nucleotides in length. Their secondary structure includes four short double-helical elements and three loops (D, anti-codon, and T loops). Further hydrogen bonds mediate the characteristic L-shaped molecular structure. tRNAs have two regions of fundamental functional importance: the anti-codon, which is responsible for specific mRNA codon recognition, and the 3' end, to which the tRNAs corresponding amino acid is attached (by aminoacyl-tRNA synthetases). tRNAs cope with the degeneracy of the genetic code in two manners: having more than one tRNA (with a specific anti-codon) for a particular amino acid; and 'wobble' base-pairing, i.e. permitting non-standard base-pairing at the 3rd anti-codon position. Lineage: Bacteria; Pseudomonadati; Planctomycetota; Planctomycetia; Planctomycetales; Planctomycetaceae. The record is from RNAcentral.
GCCCAGGUGGCGGAACUGGCAGACGCGCUAGGUUCAGGACCUAGUUCCUUUAACCGGGAGUGCAGGUUCGAUCCCUGUCCUGGGCA